AACGAACGCUGGCGGCAUGCCUAACACAUGCAAGUCGAACGAGACCUGCGGGUCUAGUGGCGCACGGGUGCGUAACGCGUGGGAAUCUGCCCUUCGGUUCGGAAUAACUCAGGGAAACUUGAGCUAAUACCGGAUGAUGUCUUCGGACCAAAGAUUUAUCGCCGAGGGAUGAGCCCGCGUAGGAUUAGGUAGUUGGUGGGGUAAGGGCCCACCAAGCCGACGAUCCUUAGCUGGCCUGAGAGGAUGAUCAGACACACUGGGACUGAGACGCGGCCCAGACUCCUACGGGAGGCAGCAGUGGGGAAUAUUGGACAAUGGGCGAAAGCCUGAUCCAGCAAUGCCGCGUGAGUGAUGAAGGCCUUAGGGUUGUAAAGCUCUUUUACCAGGGAUGAUAAUGACAGUACCUGGAGAAUAAGCUCCGGCUAACUCCGUGCCAGCCGCCGCGGUAA
This 449-nucleotide ribosomal RNA is filed under the name uncultured bacterium. Its description in RNAcentral is "partial 16S ribosomal RNA". It matches the Rfam family "Bacterial small subunit ribosomal RNA", at positions 29 to 523 of the family's 1533-position model. The record is from RNAcentral.